CCUACGGGAGGCAGCAGUGGGGAAUUUUGCGCAAUGCUCGUAAGAGUGACGCAGCGACGCCGCGUGAAUGACGAAGGCCUUCGGGUCGUAAAGUUCUUUCGACAGGGAAGAAAAGGCAUAUAAGUAACUGUGUAUGUAUUGACGGUACCUGUAUAAGCAGCCCCGGCUAACUCCGUGCCAGCAGCCGCGGUAAUACGGAGGGGGCGAGCGUUGUUCGAAGGGACUGGGCGUAAAGAGGACGUAGGCGUUGUUGUAAGUCAUUAGUUAAAGACUAGAGCUCAACUUUAGUAAGGCUAGUGAUACUAUAAUACUAGAGUAUCAGAGAGGAUUGCAGAAUUCCUGGUGUAGCGGUGAAAUGCGUAGAUAUCAGGAGGAAUACCGUUAGCGAAGGCGGCAAUCUGGCUGGAAACUGACGCUGAGGUGCGAAAGCGUGGGUAGCAAACAGGAUUAGAUACCCCUGUAGUC
RNAcentral lists this ribosomal RNA (465 nucleotides) under uncultured bacterium. Its description in RNAcentral is "partial 16S ribosomal RNA". It matches the Rfam family "Bacterial small subunit ribosomal RNA", at positions 338 to 795 of the family's 1533-position model. The record is from RNAcentral.